This is a non-coding RNA of Pelobates cultripes (western spadefoot toad), 211 nucleotides long. The record is from the annotation of a GenBank genome assembly. Lineage: Eukaryota; Metazoa; Chordata; Amphibia; Anura; Pelobatidae.
CUUCAAGAUGAUCAUUUAUAAACAUGUUAAAUAGAAGGGGUCCCAGAACAGACCCCUGAGGGACACCACUUGCCACCUCUGUCCAGCUUGAAAAUGUACCAUUAAUGACAACUCUUUGUACUCUGUUUUUAAGCCAAUGAUCUACCCAAGAACAAGCAUUUUCAUCUAGACCGAUUUCCUUGAGUUUGAACACUAAUCUAUUGUGUGGAAC